AGAGUUUGAUCCUGGCUCAGAUUGAACGCUGGCGGAAUGCUUUACACAUGCAAGUCGAACGGCAGCACGGGAGCUUGCUCCUGGUGGCGAGUGGCGAACGGGUGAGUAAUGCGUCGGAACGUACCGAGUAAUGGGGGAUAACGCAGCGAAAGUUGUGCUAAUACCGCAUACGCCCUCCGGGGGAAAGCAGGGGAUCGCAAGACCUUGCGUUAUUCGAGCGGCCGACGUCUGAUUAGCUAGUUGGUGAGGUAAUGGCUCACCAAGGCGACGAUCAGUAGCGGGUCUGAGAGGAUGAUCCGCCACACUGGAACUGAGACACGGUCCAGACUCCUUCGGGAGGCAGCAGUGGGGAAUUUUGGACAAUGGGGGCAACCCUGAUCCAGCCAUUCCGCGUGAGUGAAGAAGGCCUUCGGGUUGUAAAGCUCUUUCAGCUGGAACGAAACGGUAGUCUCUAACAUAGGCUGCUAAUGACGGUACCAGCAGAAGAAGCACCGGCUAACUACGUGCCAGCAGCCGCGGUAAUACGUAGGGUGCGAGCGUUAAUCGGAAUUACUGGGCGUAAAGCGUGCGCAGGCGGAUUGUUAAGCAAGACGUGAAAUCCCCGGGCUUAACCUGGGAAUGGCGUUUUGAACUGGCAGUCUAGAGUGUGUCAGAGGGGGGUAGAAUUCCACGUGUAGCAGUGAAAUGCGUAGAGAUGUGGAGGAAUACCGAUGGCGAAGGCAGCCCCCUGGGAUAACACUGACGCUCAUGUACGAAAGCGUGGGUAGCAAACAGGAUUAGAUACCCUGGUAGUCCACGCCCUAAACGAUGUCAACUGGUUGUUGGGGGAGUGAAAUCCCUUAGUAACGAAGCUAACGCGCGAAGUUGACCGCCUGGGGAGUACGGUCGCAAGAUUAAAACUCAAAGGAAUUGACGGG
This 917-nucleotide ribosomal RNA is filed under the name uncultured bacterium. RNAcentral's name for it is "bacterial SSU rRNA". It matches the Rfam family "Bacterial small subunit ribosomal RNA", at positions 8 to 917 of the family's 1533-position model. The record is from RNAcentral.